UGGGGAAUUUUGGACAAUGGGCGCAAGCCUGAUCCAGCAAUGCCGCGUGCAGGAAGAAGGCCUUCGGGUUGUAAACUGCUUUUGUCAGGGAAGAAAUCUUCUGGGUUAAUACCUCGGGAGGAUGACGGUACCUGAAGAAUAAGCACCGGCUAACUACGUGCCAGCAGCCGCGGUAAUACGUAGGGUGCGAGCGUUAAUCGGAAUUACUGGGCGUAAAGCGUGCGCAGGCGGCUUUGCAAGACAGAGGUGAAAUCCCCGGGCUCAACCUGGGAACUGCCUUUGUGACUGCAAGGCUCGAGUACGGCAGAGGGGGAUGGAAUUCCGCGUGUAGCAGUGAAAUGCGUAGAUAUGCGGAGGAACACCAAUGGCGAAGGCAAUCCCCUGGGCCUGUACUGACGCUCAUGCACGAAAGCGUGGGGAGCAAACAGG
RNAcentral lists this ribosomal RNA (429 nucleotides) under Acidobacteriota bacterium. Its description in RNAcentral is "Acidobacteria bacterium partial 16S ribosomal RNA". It matches the Rfam family "Bacterial small subunit ribosomal RNA", at positions 355 to 776 of the family's 1533-position model. Lineage: Bacteria; Pseudomonadati; Acidobacteriota. The record is from RNAcentral.